UAACUGAUACAUUGAGGAAAUAUUAAUAACACUUCUCUAGCAAGCUUUACUUAAAAAAAAUUGGUAAAUGAGAAAUACAGUUGGGGAAAAACAGUCUUCUUUGUUUGCAUUGACUUUGUUUAUAUCAGUGAUAAGCUCUGCCCCAAGCCAUACCACGGGUGAUGGAAGUGAGUGGGGAAAGGAAUUGGAAAUGGUUCUGAGGAAUGAAGAUAAAUGAAAGGUGAAUAUGUUGCAGUUAGGUUAAAAAAAAAAGAAGAAGAAAGAGAUAAUGUUGCCAUUUGAAAUUCUAGUAUGGGAGAAACUGUGCAGAAAGAGAAGAGAAAAUGAAAUUUUAAAAAGCUUACUAAUAGUGAAAGAAUCAGUAAAAUAAUUUAAAAAAUCACAAAAUAAUUGUAUACAAUAAAAAGUAUGUCUUUUGUUGAUCCAUCAAAAUAAAUAAUGAAGGAAAGAGCAAGUGGGAAACCACAAGACAUCAAAUAAGAUUUUUUUCAAAAAGAGUUAAGAGGGUUCCUAUUGUGGCUUAUUGGUUUAAGUAUUCAACACUGUCUCUGUAAGGAUAUGGGUUCAAUCUCUUGCCUUGCUCAGUGGGUUGAGGAUCUGGCAUUGCUGCAAGCUGUGGCAUAUGUUGCAGAUGUGGCUCAGAUCCAUUGUUGUUGUGGCUGAGGUAUAAACUUACAACUGCAGCUGCAAUUUAACCCCUGGCCAGGAACUUUCAUAGGAUAGGAACUUUCAUAUGCUACAGAAAUAAGAAGAGAAACAAACAAAUAAGUAAAGUUAAGAGGAAUUAUCCUAAUUUUACUAGAGAAAAAUUAAGGUCAGAAAUAAUAAUUAUAGUAAGAAAUAAGGUUUUUAAAUAUAGCUAUGGAUCAAACGAAGGAUUUUUUUCAAAAGUCUACUCUUACAGUCAAACAUACAAGAUUCAAGGAAGCUUUGAAAGAUAGUUAUGUCAAAACUAGACCAGAAAUUGGCAAAUACCACUAAAUGUGUGUUUAUAAUUCAAUCAGUGAAAAUAGAGGAGGCAUAAAAUUAAAGUAUGGAGGAUUUUGUUGUCAUGAUGUGACUUCUCCUAUGUUAUAACACAGUUUUUUUUUUAAGUUUUGUUAAAGUAUAGUUGAUUUAUAAAGUUGUGAUAACUUCUGAUGUACAACAAAGUGACUAAGUUAUACAUGUACACAUAUCAAUUCUCUCUCAGAUUAUUUUCCCACAUAGAUUAUCACAGAAUAUUGGGUAGAGUUCUCUGUGCUAUACAGCAGGUCCCUGUUGGCCAAUCAUUCCAUAUACCUCAGUGUGCACCUGCCAAUCCCAACCCCUGGUCCAUCUCCCACACCACCUGUCCCCUUUGGUAACCAUAAAGUUUUUAAACACUUUGGGAGUUCCUGUCACGGCUCAGUGGUUAACGAAUCUGACUAGGAACCAUGAGGUUGCGGGUUUGAUCCCUGGCCUUGCUCAGUGGGUUAAGGAUCCAGUGUUGCCAUGAGCUGUGUUGUAGGUUGCAGACAAGGCUUGGAUCCCACGUUGCUGUGGCUCUGGCGUAGGCCGGAGGCUACAGCUCUGAUUAGACCCCUAGCCGGGGAACCUCCAUAUGCCGCAGAGGCCCAAGAAAUGGCAAAAAGACAAAAAAAAAUUAAACACAACAGUUUUGACAGCAAUAAUAAAUCCUCCUGCACUGCUGGUGGGAAUGUAAACUGGUACAGCCGCUAUGGAGAACAGUUUGGAGAUACCUUAGAAAUCUAUACAUAGAACUUCCAUAUGACCCUGCAAUCCCACUCUUGGGCAUCUAUCCGGACAAAGCUCUACUUAAAAGAGACACAUGCACCCGCAUGUUCAUUGCAGCCCUAUUCACAAUAGCCAGGACAUGGAAACAAUCCAAAUGUCCAUCGACAGAUGAUUGGAUUCGGAAGAGGUGGUAUAUAUACACAAUGGAAUACUCCUCAGCCAUAAAAAAGAAUGACAUAAUGCCAUUUGCAGCAACAGUGAUGAAACUAGAGACUCUCAUACUGAGUGAAAUGAGCCAGAAAGACAAAGACAAAUACCAUAUGAUAUCACUUAUAACUGGAAUCUAAUAUCCAGCACAAAUGAACAUCUCCUCAGAAGAGAAAAUCAUGGACUUGGAGAAAAGACUUGUGGCUGCCUGAUGGGAGGGGGAGGGAGUGGGAGGGAUCGGGAGCUUGGGCUUAUCAGACACAACCUAGAAUAGAUUUACAAGGAGAUCCUGCUGAAUAGCAUUGAGAACUAUGUCCAGACACUCAUGUUGCAACAGAAGAAAGGGUAGGGGAAAAAAUGUAAUUGUAAUGUAUACAUGUAAGGAUGACUUGAUCCCCUUGCUGUACAGUGGGAAAAUUAAAAAAAAA
RNAcentral lists this long non-coding RNA (2351 nucleotides) under Sus scrofa (pig). Its description in RNAcentral is "lncRNA (ENSSSCG00055027303.1)". The record is from RNAcentral. Lineage: Eukaryota; Metazoa; Chordata; Mammalia; Artiodactyla; Suidae.